CUUACACUAUUAGGUGGAUGACUUGGCUCAAAACAGCGAUGAAGGACAUGGCAAGCUGUGAUAAGCCCUGGGUAGGUGCACGCAGCCGUUGAACCAGGGAUUUCUGAAUAGGACUUCCGAUAUAUUCCGAAAGGAAAGCCAACUCGGUGAAUUGAAGCGUCUUAGUAACCGAAGGAAAAGAAAUUAACCAAGAUUCUGUGAUUAGCAGCGAGCGAAAACAGAAGAGAGCAAACUGAAUUUCUUAUAGUAAUAUAAGAUAGAUGUGGUGUUGUAAGACUCACUUUCGAUCCUUCAAACUCAGCCAAAGUUUCCUGGAAAGGAACGCUAUAAAGAGUGAUAGCCUCGUAGGUUGAACUAAAAGGAUUUGUGAGUAUCUUGAGUAGUGUUUCUUGGAUAUGAAGCAUGAAGCUAGGAGUCAUUAACUUCUAACUCUAAAUAUGUUUUGAGUCCGAUAGCGUAUAGUAUAGUGAUAAAACGUUGAAAAGUACCCUUAGCAGGGUGUGAAAAGAUCCUGAAACCUAAUAGUAAUAGAAUGAUACUGCUAUUCGUAGUUGUAUCGUACGUUUAGAAUAACGGGCCAGGGAGUUGAUCUAAGUGGCAAGAAUAAUUCGUAAUAAGAAGUAUUCGAAGCGAAAGCAAAAUCUCGCAGUUUACAAGGAGAUGGGUUUUAACUAGCCUCAGUCACUUGGGUCUAACCAGAAACCAAGCGAUCUAAUCUUGGGCAAGGUGAAGUGGUCUUAACGGACCGUGGAGGCCUGAAGGGAUUCUAUGUGCAUGUGACCCUAUGACCUGAGAUUAGGGGUGAAAAGCUAAUCGAGCUUGGUGAUAGCUGGUUCCUAUCGAAAUAUGCCGAAGUAUAGUCUCAAGCGAGAUAGCUAGGAUUGUAGAGCUACGGAUUUGGAGGUUAGGGGUAGAAAUACCUCGCCUUCUUGUCCAACUCCAAAUGUCCUAGCGUUGUAGACCUUGGGAAACAGGGGAGCGCGGUAAGCGUGUUUUCCAAUAGGGGAACCACCCUCUCUAUAGUUAAGGUCCCAAAAUGCUAAUUAAGUGUGAAAGGGUGAAGGGUGUAUAUCUGCUCAGACAGCUGGGAGGUUGGCUUAGAAGCAGCCAUCCUUUAAAGAAAGCGUAAUAGCUCACCAGUCAAGGAGGUAUGCCCCGAAAAUGGACGGGGCUAAAUUAGCUACCGAUACUAUAGACUCCAGAAAUGGAUGUGGUAGAUAGGCGUUCUGUAAGGGUAGAAGUUUUCUUGUAAAAGGAAAUGGACCUUAUAGAAAUGAGAAUCCUGGCGGUAGUAGGAUCAGAACAGAGUGAGAAUCUCUGAUACCGUAAGACUAAGGUUUUCUUAGCAAUAUAGUUUAGCUAAGAGUAAGUCGAUCCUAACUAAGUUCCUAAUUGGACACUUGGGAAAGGGAAACAGGUUAAUAUUCCUGUACUAUCUAAAUUUUUGCUUAAGUUAAACUUUGGGAUAAACUAACAAUUCUCGUCGGGAUUGUUCUUAAAGACAAGUUGGUGGAGUACUGUAAUAGUGAGAAACUGACUAAAUUUAGGAGGCUAGCAAUAGUUUAGUUGAGUCCUAGAGUCCGUGAAAGAAGCUUAAGGCCGAUUUAGAUAAUCGUACCCAGAACCUGCACUGGUGGUCUAGCUGAGAAGGCUCAGGUAUGAGAGAACAAUCUAACUAAGGGAAUUCGGCAAAAUAGCUCCGUGCCUUCGGUAUAAGGAGUCCCUGCGAUUGUUAAUUAUGUUAGCGAUUACAGGGUGCAAUAACAAGGGGGGUCCGACUGUUUAACAAAAACACAGCAAUCUGCUAGCCAGCAAUGGUUUGUAUAGAUUGCCACGUCUGCCCAGUGCCAGUACUUGAAACUCUUUUCCAAGAGAGCUAAGAGCUGGUAAACGGCGGGAAUAACUAUAAUUCUCUUAAGGUAUGCAUUAGUUGCCUUAGUAAAAUCUGGCUAUAUGCUGGAAAAUCCGAGUAUCCCACACUACCAUAAUUAAACUUUUAAGGUUUAAUUAUACCUUAAUUAUGGUGACAAUGUGAUGGGUGCGGACAAUCAGCAGGAAAGACUAGAUGUUAAUUGGAUUAUAGGUUUUGUUGAUGGAGAAGGUUGUUUUCAUGUAGCAUUAAAUAAGCUACCAAAAAUGACUUUAGGUCGGCAAGUUCUUCCAGAGUUUAGAAUUGUUCAACAUCAACGUGAUGAAUAUCUCCUAAAAAGAAUAAAUAAAUUCUUUGAAUUUGGGGAUAUUUGUAGAAAUCAUGGUGAUAGAAAAGAAUUCAGAGUUAGAGGGUUAGAAAACUUAAACAAAUUAGUUUAUUUUUUCAAUGAAAAUCCUUUACAAACUUCCAAGAGGAAAAACUUUGAAUUAUUCUCUCAAGUGAUUGAGUUGAUGAAUAACAAAGAACAUCUAACAAAAGAAGGACUAAAGAAAAUUGCUAAUCUUGCUUCAAAGAUGAACAGAAAGAUCAAAAGACAUCUAGAAUCCUCAGAGACUAUACGCCAGAGUUCUAAUAAUUUAGAACAAGAUAUAGUCCGAUCCUUUAGGCGACUAGAGGAGGUUAUUAGAAAUAAUAAUCCGCCAUCUGAAUAAGAUGGUCAGUACUUCAAUUGAGGGAAAGUAACAGAUAUGAGCGAAAUGCCUUGCCGUUUGAAUGACGGCCUGCAUGAAUGGCGUAACGAGAUCUCCACUGUCCCUAGUUAGAGUCUCCUGAACACACUAUUCUGGUGCAAAAGCCAGAGAUGCCUAGUGGGAAGUAAAGACCCCGUGGAACUUUACUGUAGUAUGUUGUUGUGAUGUGGAACUUAUUGUGCAGUAUAGGUAGGAGUUGCUAUGGCUUGGUCGUCAGAUCAAGUCUAGACAAA
Molecule: ribosomal RNA, 2855 nt
Filed under: marine metagenome
Description: bacterial LSU rRNA
Rfam family: Archaeal large subunit ribosomal RNA
Source: RNAcentral